Molecule: long non-coding RNA, 382 nt
Organism: Echinops telfairi (small Madagascar hedgehog)
Lineage: Eukaryota; Metazoa; Chordata; Mammalia; Afrosoricida; Tenrecidae
Exons: 5
Source: RefSeq, a predicted model, not a curated record
UUUGAUGCCUCAUCCUUGCUCGGCUCUGAAGGUCACAGAUUUAAUCAUGUACAACUGCAGAAAGGAGGCAGACCCUUUCCUUUUUGCCAGAUGAUCUUUUGAAGCCCUUGUAUACACACCAAACCAAUUGCUGCGCUGACUCCGGCUCAGAACAGAAAUUGGUGGUAAAAGGAAUAAGGAUGCUUGCCGCUCAAGGAGAAGCGCCUCAAUUGGGGGUGGAAGAAGUUGGGUCGCAUUCCUGGGCGGGGAUCCUAGAUUUCCGGCACUGCUUGUUGAAAAGACUAUCUCUUCCCCACCGAACGUGUCUUCCAUCAAAAAGCAACUAUCUGUAGGUACCUUGUUGUAUUUCUGCUUUCACUUUUCUGUUUCUUUCAUUGUUUAA